CGGCAGCCCGCGCAGAUGAGGUCCUAGGCCCUGGGGUCAGAUCCUGGCUGUGCUCCUAGCUGCAGGCGACCCUGGGAGACGACUGCCUCAGUUUACCCAUCGGCGGAGGGCUCUCGUGAGGAGAGAAGGCUUAUGCGCGGAUGCCACGUGGACUUGAGGCAGUACAUUUGGAAAACACAGGGAGCCACAGAACUGGGGGGCAACGAAAAGAAGAAAAUCAGGGUGAGGAAUUCAAGGAAGCAAAACGAAAGCAAAAAGGAAGGGCUUCCUGCUCCUGAUUGCCCAGACGUGGAGGAGAAGGACCUCGGCCUGUGGGUGAGAGCAGGCGCAAGCAGCCCUGCUCGCCGGGCGCCCCUGAAACCCCCGUCUCCCGCCGUGGCCCGCCGGGGGCCCCUGCCAGCUUGGGAGGCCUCCGGGCUUCCUGGGAAGGCAGUGUCCAGGGCUCUCGGCCCCCAGGCCCGGGGGAUGCCAAGGGACGCAGCGCCCCCUGCUGGCCGGUCGGGGCCCCUUCCCGU
Molecule: long non-coding RNA, 515 nt
Filed under: Dasypus novemcinctus (nine-banded armadillo)
Lineage: Eukaryota; Metazoa; Chordata; Mammalia; Cingulata; Dasypodidae
Description: lncRNA (ENSDNOG00000050036.1)
Source: RNAcentral